CCUACGGGGGGCAGCAGUGAGGAAUAUUGGUCAAUGGCCGGAAGGCUGAACCAGCCAUGCCGCGUGAAGGUCAGUGGGCGGUGGGCGGUAAACUUCUUUUGUGCGGGAGCAAUAAUGGUCACGUGUGGCCAGACGAGAGUACCGUACGAAUAAGCAUCGGCUAACUCCGUGCCAGCAGCCGCGGUAAUACGGGGGAUGCAAGCGUUAUACGGGUUUAUUGGGUUUAAAGGGUGCGUAGGCUGUGAGGUAAGUCAGCGGUGAAAUGCCCCCGCUCAACGGGGUGAAGUGCCAUUGAUACUGCCUUGCUGGAAUGCGGAUGCCGUGGGAGGAAUGUGUGGUGUAGCGGUGAAAUGCAUAGAUAUCACACAGAACACCGAUUGCGAAGGCAUCUCACGAAUCCGCGAUUGACGCUGAUGCACGAAAGCGUGGGUAUCAAACAGGAUUAGAUACCCCAGUAGUC
RNAcentral lists this ribosomal RNA (460 nucleotides) under uncultured bacterium. Its description in RNAcentral is "partial 16S ribosomal RNA". It matches the Rfam family "Bacterial small subunit ribosomal RNA", at positions 338 to 795 of the family's 1533-position model. The record is from RNAcentral.